GCUGGUGUAGCUCAGUUGGCAGAGCUGGGCCUUUGUAAUGCUCAUGUCGCAGGUUCGAGUCCUGUCGCCAGCUCCA
RNAcentral lists this transfer RNA (76 nucleotides) under Pseudoflavonifractor phocaeensis. RNAcentral describes it as "tRNA-Thr". It matches the Rfam family "tRNA". Rfam says of the family: Transfer RNA (tRNA) molecules are approximately 80 nucleotides in length. Their secondary structure includes four short double-helical elements and three loops (D, anti-codon, and T loops). Lineage: Bacteria; Bacillati; Bacillota; Clostridia; Eubacteriales; Oscillospiraceae. The record is from RNAcentral.